RNAcentral lists this ribosomal RNA (421 nucleotides) under uncultured bacterium. RNAcentral describes it as "bacterial SSU rRNA". It matches the Rfam family "Bacterial small subunit ribosomal RNA", at positions 355 to 773 of the family's 1533-position model. The record is from RNAcentral.
UGAGGAAUAUUGGUCAAUGGACGGAAGUCUGAACCAGCCAUGCCGCGUGAAGGAUGAAGGCGUUCUGCGUUGUAAACUUCUUUUAUCUGGGAAGAAACCACAGAUUUCUAUUUGUGUUGACGAUACCAGAGGAAUAAGCACCGGCUAACUCCGUGCCAGCAGCCGCGGUAAUACGGAGGGUGCGAGCGUUAUCCGGAUUUACUGGGUUUAAAGGGUGCGUAGGUGGGCUUAUAAGUCAGUGGUGAAAUCUCCGAGCUUAACUUGGAAACUGCCGUUGAUACUAUAGGUCUUGAAUUAUCUGGAGGUAAGCGGAAUAUGUCAUGUAGCGGUGAAAUGCUUAGAUAUGACAUAGAACACCAAUUGCGAAGGCAGCUUACUACAUAUAAAUUGACGCUGAGGCACGAAAGCGUGGGGAUCAAAC